ACGGGAGGCAGCAGUGGGGAAUAUUGCACAAUGGGGGAAACCCUGAUGCAGCAACGCCACGUGUGGGAAGACGCAUUUCGGUGUGUAAACCACUGUCGUGAGGGAAUAAGGCUGAGUUUCGGCUCAGUUGAAUGUACCUCGAAAGGAAGCACCGGCAAACUUCGUGCCAGCAGCCGCGGUAAUACGAGGGGUGCAAGCGUUGUUCGGAAUCACUGGGCGUAAAGGGAGCGCAGGCGGAAGUGCAAGCGGUCUGUACAAUCCCGGGGCCCAACCCCGGACCUGCAGACCGGACUGCAUUUCUUGGAUAGUUCAGGGGCAAGCGGAAUUCCUGGUGUAGCGGUGGAAUGCGUAGAGAUCAGGAAGAACACCGAUGGCGAAGGCAGCUUGCUGGGGACUAAUCGACGCUCAUGCUCGAAAGUGCGGGUAGCAAACAGGAUUAGAUACCCUGGUA
This 451-nucleotide ribosomal RNA is filed under the name uncultured Fibrobacter sp. RNAcentral's name for it is "bacterial SSU rRNA". It matches the Rfam family "Bacterial small subunit ribosomal RNA", at positions 341 to 792 of the family's 1533-position model. The record is from RNAcentral. Lineage: Bacteria; Pseudomonadati; Fibrobacterota; Fibrobacteria; Fibrobacterales; Fibrobacteraceae.